CUACGGGCUGCAGCAGUGAGGAAUAUUGCGCAAUGGGGGCAACCCUGACGCAGCGACGCCGCGUGAGUGAGGAAGGCCCUCGGGUCGUAAAGCUCUGUCAAGAGGAAAGAAGUGCAUAGUAGUUAAUACCUGCUAUGUUUGACGGUACCUCUAAAGGAAGCACCGGCUAACUCCGUGCCAGCAGCCGCGGUAAUACGGAGGGUGCAAGCGUUGUUCGGAAUCACUGGGCGUAAAGGGCGCGCAGGCGGCCUGGUAAGUCAGAUGUGAAAGCCCACGGCUUAACCGUGGAAGUGCAUUUGAAACUGUCAGGCUUGAGUACCAGAGGGGAAAGUGGAAUUCCCGGUGUAGAGGUGAAAUUCGUAGAUAUCGGGAGGAAUACCGGUGGCGAAGGCGACUUUCUGGCUGAGUACUGACGCUGAGGCGCGAAAGCGUGGGGAGCAAACAGGAUUAGAUACCCCCGUAGUC
This 465-nucleotide ribosomal RNA is filed under the name uncultured bacterium. Its description in RNAcentral is "partial 16S ribosomal RNA". It matches the Rfam family "Bacterial small subunit ribosomal RNA", at positions 339 to 795 of the family's 1533-position model. The record is from RNAcentral.